This 250-nucleotide ribosomal RNA is filed under the name uncultured bacterium. Its description in RNAcentral is "partial 16S ribosomal RNA". It matches the Rfam family "Bacterial small subunit ribosomal RNA", at positions 524 to 773 of the family's 1533-position model. The record is from RNAcentral.
UACGUGAGUGGCAAGCGUUAUCCGGAAUUACUGGGCGUAAAGCGUCCGCAGGGGGCAUGGUAAGUGCACUGUUAAAUCUACUGGCUCAACUGGUAGGCCGCAGUGUAUACUGCCACGCUCGAGGAAUGUAGAGGUGAGUGGAAUUUCCGGAGUAGGAGUAAUAUCCGUAGAUACCGGAAGGAACACCAAUAGCGAAGGCAGCUCACUGGACAUCUCCUGACCCUCAGGGACGAAAGCGUGGGGAGCGAAC